RNAcentral lists this long non-coding RNA (455 nucleotides) under Mytilus galloprovincialis (Mediterranean mussel). The record is from RNAcentral. Lineage: Eukaryota; Metazoa; Mollusca; Bivalvia; Mytilida; Mytilidae.
CACAUACUAUUUUAUUUAGCCUUAUAUUAUCUGUGUAACUUCAAUGUAAAUUCUGUCCUCCUUCAUUAAUUUUAAUUUACUGGGUGGUCAGAGUAUUUGCAGAUGGCUCCUUAAAUUUUAACUUUAUCUUAUUUAUUAUGUUUAAUUGGAUAUUAUGUUAACUGCAUGGAAGUUGUGUAACCUUUGAACUUUAAACUUCCUAGCAUCUCUAGAAAUGCAAUUGUUAUUUAUUAAAUAAUGAAAUAAAUGUUUUAGCUUCAUCAGGUUCUGUUUUCAGGCAAAGAGUAAGUGACCUAAAUUUCUGGCCUUUUACUUUAGGGGUCCCAACCCAUAAAGAGCUAUACUAAACUAUUCUUAACCCCGCAAACCUUACCCUCACCCAUACUUAAUCCUAACACUAGCCAUAACUCUAAAACCUAACCCUAACCUAAAACAUCCCCUAACCUAACUAUAAC